AUUAAAGCUUUGAUGAGAAGAGUAGGUUUAGUAGCCGGUUAAGAGAGUUUCGGCAGCUGUAAAGAAACCCGACGACUAAAAAGAAGAUGAGCUCGGAGCCUGUGUGGCGGUCUUUUGGCUGACACAUCGUUUGCAUACGUUACCUGCAAGAGUAUAGUUUGGCUUAAUUAAUCAUUGCCUCACACCGGUGCUGACCGGUGUGAGUUUCGUUGAGAACAAUAAUUGUGCAGUAAGCCCGACUAAACACUCACUGAGUCCAACAUUGUGAAAUGUUGGUAAAAUCAGGUGGUAUCGUGAAUAAACCGUCACCCUGAAA
RNAcentral lists this non-coding RNA (316 nucleotides) under Levilactobacillus brevis. RNAcentral describes it as "Lactobacillus brevis T-box sequence". It matches the Rfam family "T-box leader". Rfam says of the family: Uncharged tRNA acts as the effector for transcription antitermination of genes in the T-box leader family. T-boxes are found upstream of many aminoacyl-tRNA synthetase genes and some amino acid biosynthetic genes usually in Gram-positive bacteria. The anticodon of a specific tRNA base pairs to a specifier sequence within the T-box motif, and the NCCA acceptor tail of the tRNA base pairs to a conserved bulge in the T-box antiterminator hairpin. The record is from RNAcentral. Lineage: Bacteria; Bacillati; Bacillota; Bacilli; Lactobacillales; Lactobacillaceae.